This 75-nucleotide transfer RNA is filed under the name bacterium. RNAcentral's name for it is "tRNA-Glu". It matches the Rfam family "tRNA". From Rfam's summary of the family: Transfer RNA (tRNA) molecules are approximately 80 nucleotides in length. Their secondary structure includes four short double-helical elements and three loops (D, anti-codon, and T loops). Further hydrogen bonds mediate the characteristic L-shaped molecular structure. tRNAs have two regions of fundamental functional importance: the anti-codon, which is responsible for specific mRNA codon recognition, and the 3' end, to which the tRNAs corresponding amino acid is attached (by aminoacyl-tRNA synthetases). tRNAs cope with the degeneracy of the genetic code in two manners: having more than one tRNA (with a specific anti-codon) for a particular amino acid; and 'wobble' base-pairing, i.e. permitting non-standard base-pairing at the 3rd anti-codon position. The record is from RNAcentral.
GGUCCUAUCGUCUAGCGGUUAGGACAUGGCCUUCUCAAGGCUAAAACACGGGUUCGACUCCCGUUGGGACUACCA